GCAAGUCGAACGCGAAAGAGUUCUUCGGAACUUGAGUAGAGUGGCGCACGGGUGAGUAACGCGUAGAUAACCUACCUCCAUGUCUGGGAUAACCCACUGAAAGGUGGACUAAUACCGGAUGUUCCUGUUUUUCAUAAGUAUUACAGGCAAAGGUGGCCUCUGAUGUAAGCUAUCGCAUGGAGAGGGGUCUGCGUACCAUUAGCUUGUUGGUGGGGUAAUGGCCUACCAAGGCGACGAUGGUUAGCGGGUCUGAGAGGAUGAUCCGUCACACUGGCACUGAAACACGGGCCAGACUCCUACGGGAGGCAGCAGUGAGGAAUAUUGCGCAAUGGGGGAAACCCUGACGCAGCGACGCCGCGUGAGUGAGGAAGGCCUUCGGGUCGUAAAGCUCUGUCAAAAGGGAAGAAAUGUAUAGAGGUUAAUACCCUUUAUGCUUGACGGUACCUUUAAAGGAAGCACCGGCUAACUCCGUGCCAGCAGCCGCGGUAAGACGUAGGGGGCUAGCGUUGUCCGGAAU
RNAcentral lists this ribosomal RNA (517 nucleotides) under uncultured bacterium. RNAcentral describes it as "bacterial SSU rRNA". It matches the Rfam family "Bacterial small subunit ribosomal RNA", at positions 57 to 551 of the family's 1533-position model. The record is from RNAcentral.